Molecule: non-coding RNA, 86 nt
Organism: Ciona savignyi (Pacific transparent sea squirt)
Lineage: Eukaryota; Metazoa; Chordata; Ascidiacea; Phlebobranchia; Cionidae
Source: Rfam
GCUUAUCACCAUUCCAGAUUGAAUAUACCCGAGCUUGGUUAGUACUUGGAUGGGUGACCGCUUGGGAAUACCAAGUGUGAUAAGCA